CAGUCGCCGCGGUAAUACGAAGGGGGCUAGCGUUGUUCGGAAUUACUGGGCGUAAAGCGCACGUAGGCGGAUAUUUAAGUCAGGGGUGAAAUCCCAGAGCUCAACUCUGGAACUGCCUUUGAUACUGGGUAUCUUGAGUAUGGAAGAGGUGAGUGGAAUUCCGAGUGUAGAGGUGAAAUUCGUAGAUAUUCGGAGGAACACCAGUGGCGAAGGCGGCUCACUGGUCCAUUACUGACGCUGAGGUGCGAAAGCGUGGGGAGCAAACAGGAUUAGAGACCCCGGUAGUCCCUGUCUCUUAUAA
Molecule: ribosomal RNA, 301 nt
Filed under: uncultured bacterium
Lineage: Bacteria
Description: partial 16S ribosomal RNA
Rfam family: Bacterial small subunit ribosomal RNA
Source: RNAcentral